Long non-coding RNA from Ovis aries (sheep), 517 nucleotides. Lineage: Eukaryota; Metazoa; Chordata; Mammalia; Artiodactyla; Bovidae. The record is from Ensembl.
CACUACCAUGUUUGAAUUAAGCUCUAAAGGUACAGUUUUACCAGAUGCUCAUCAUGGUGAGAUGGGAAACACAGAGGCAAUGUCUUCUUUAGGCCCUUGGCUAACGCUAUUCUGAAAAUGGUAGAGAUAAUGAAGACAUAAGAGUCAAAAGACAAUGGCAAAAGUAGUAGGCAGAAGACUGUCAGUAACAAGAUCAGUGAUUGGACUAGCAGAAAUAAGUCCAACAUGACUUGCACAUAAUAGAGAAAAUGAUCAGUGAGUGGAUCACAAUAGGUUAGUUAGAGAAGGGCCACAGUCUGAACCAGUGAUAGAUGCAAUCCUGUUGUACACAGUGAGGAUGCCAGCAGAACACAUGUCCUCCAGUUCUUGAAUUGAGCCCAGAUCAAAGCUGAAUACAGGAGGAGCUGAAGUGUGAAGUUCACUCAACACCUUCAUCUUCUUUGACCUGAACCUGUCUCUGUAAUGGUUAAGUAGCUAUGCAGUCUGAACACUGUGUGGCCAUCUGCAAUGCCCCUCC